Molecule: ribosomal RNA, 353 nt
Filed under: uncultured Coriobacteriales bacterium
Lineage: Bacteria; Bacillati; Actinomycetota; Coriobacteriia; Coriobacteriales
Description: partial 16S ribosomal RNA
Source: RNAcentral
GGAGUUUGGACCGUCUCUCAGUUCCAAUGUGGCCGAUCACCCUCUCAGGUCGGCUACCGAUCGUCGCUUUGGUGGGCCGUUACCCCGCCAACUGGCUAAUCGGACGCGAGCCCACCCCAAACCGGAUUGCUCCUUUUACCCCAGAACCAUGUGAUCCCGUGGUCUUAUGCGGUAUUAGCACCUGUUUCCAAGUGUUAUCCCCCUGUCUGGGACAGGUUGCUCACGCGUUACUCACCCGUCCGCCACUAGAAUAUAUCCGAUUCCUGCCGAAGCUCUCAUCAAACAUAUCCCCGUUCGACUUGCAUGUGUUAAGCACGCCGCCAGCGUGUCCUCGAGCCACGGAUCAAACUACU